GAUAAACGCUGGCGGCGUGCCUAAUACAUGCAAGUCGAGCGAACGGACGAGAAGCUUGCUUCUCUGAUGUUAGCGGCGGACGGGUGAGUAACACGUGGAUAACCUACCUAUAAGACUGGGAUAACUUCGGGAAACCGGAGCUAAUACCGGAUAAUAUUUUGAACCGCAUGGUUCAAAAGUGAAAGACGGUCUUGCUGUCACUUAUAGAUGGAUCCGCGCUGCAUUAGCUAGUUGGUAAGGUAACGGCUUACCAAGGCAACGAUGCAUAGCCGACCUGAGAGGGUGAUCGGCCACACUGGAACUGAGACACGGUCCAGACUCCUACGGGAGGCAGCAGUAGGGAAUCUUCCGCAAUGGGCGAAAGCCUGACGGAGCAACGCCGCGUGAGUGAUGAAGGUCUUCGGAUCGUAAAACUCUGUUAUUAGGGAAGAACAUAUGUGUAAGUAACUGUGCACAUCUUGACGGUACCUAAUCAGAAAGCCACGGCUAACUACGUACCAGCAGCCGCGGUAAUACGUAGGUGGCAAGCGUUAUCCGGAAUUAUUGGGCGUAAAGCGCGCGUANGCGGUUUUUUAGUCUGAUGUGAAAGCCCACGGCUCAACCGUGGAGGGUCAUUGGAAACUGGAAAACUUGAGUGCAGAAGAGGAAAGUGGAAUUCCAUGUGUAGCGGUGAAAUGCGCAGAGAUAUGGAGGAACACCAGUGGCGAAGGCGACUUUCUGGUCUGUAACUGACGCUGAUGUGCGAAAGCGUGGGGAUCAAACAGGAUUAGAUACCCUGGUAGUCCACGCCGUAAACGAUGAGUGCUAAGUGUUAGGGGGUUUCCGCCCCUUAGUGCUGCAGCUAACGCAUUAAGCACUCCGCCUGGGGAGUACGACCGCAAGGUUGAAACUCAAAGGAAUUGACGGGGACCCGCACAAGCGGUGGAGCAUGUGGUUUAAUUCGAAGCAACGCGAAGAACCUUACCAAAUCUUGACAUCCUUUGACAACUCUAGAGAUAGAGCCUUCCCCUUCGGGGGACAAAGUGACAGGUGGUGCAUGGUUGUCGUCAGCUCGUGUCGUGAGAUGUUGGGUUAAGUCCCGCAACGAGCGCAACCCUUAAGCUUAGUUGCCAUCAUUAAGUUGGGCACUCUAAGUUGACUGCCGGUGACAAACCGGAGGAAGGUGGGGAUGACGUCAAAUCAUCAUGCCCCUUAUGAUUUGGGCUACACACGUGCUACAAUGGACAAUACAAAGGGCAGCGAAACCGCGAGGUCAAGCAAAUCCCAUAAAGUUGUUCUCAGUUCGGAUUGUAGUCUGCAACUCGACUACAUGAAGCUGGAAUCGCUAGUAAUCGUAGAUCAGCAUGCUACGGUGAAUACGUUCCCGGGUCU
Molecule: ribosomal RNA, 1371 nt
Filed under: uncultured bacterium
Lineage: Bacteria
Description: bacterial SSU rRNA
Rfam family: Bacterial small subunit ribosomal RNA
Source: RNAcentral